UACAAACAUGGCCCUUUAAUAUUGUAACAUGUACAGUGGGUAACAGUUUGACUGUGAUGUAUGGUGGUAUACAGUAUUUCAAACACAGAAGCAUAAAAAAGUAAAUAAGUUCACAUCUAGCACUGACUUCUUAUAGAGGAAUGCCGUUUUAGCCCAAACCUACAUGCGGAGGCCUCCGUGUGUGAUACCAAAACAAUAAAUAUGAUUAUCUGAGAGAGAGGGGAAGCCUUGGCAAACUGAAUUUAGGGGACACAGUAAGAGAUAUUUUUACAGUUUUGAAUGCCUUUUCAAUGACUUUCACUUGUGGAUGGGCAUGGAACAGUUACAUAGUGAUCGUUAUAGUAGUAUACAUGAUUAAAGUCAGCAGAGAACAACAGUAUAGAGCUCAAAGGCUGAGAGGAGAAAUGCCCCAGAUGUAUCAGUCAGUCAUAAGAGAGCAUCAGGAAGAACAUGAGGAAGAAGUUUAGUAGGCUUACAUAUAUUUACAUUUUAUGUUUACAUAGUGAUAUUCUAAAAUCAUGUUACAAGUGUGUGUUUUUUUUAAUUAAAAAAAAGUAUUGGUUGCACUUUUCCACGUUAACCCUCAUUAGUCCAAAAAAAAACAGCUAAGCUACAUUCUUAUUUACAGAAACAGCCAGUGAGGCAUCAAACACCAGCAGCAGGAGAUCAGAUAUACACAUGCAAGCACCUAAGUCUGACGCUAGUAAUUGGCUGGUAACAGUAAUACGAGUCUGAACACAGGGAGAGGCUUUCUAUAAGCAUGGCUGCAGCUUGAGGAAAAAGAUGGAAUGCUGAGAUGUGGUCCACAACAGAAGAGAUACCAUACAUAGGCUGGAAAGACGAAAUAAGCUGUUUGUAGAGGGCGGAGGCUGAUGCUUACUUAUGGAGCUCAGGUCUAUUCAGAUCCCUGUGGUUCAGCAAAUGUAAUGUUUGUACAGACAGCAUCAAACUUAGUUAUUCCUGUCAGAGAACACUUAAGCUUGACUGAGAAUAUUAUGAUUGUGAAACAGCUGAGAGAGCAGCUGAGUGACAGGAGGAGAUAAGAUAAGAGGAGAGGCAGGAGCGAGGAUGGUACCGUGGUUCAUGCCUCACAGAGACAAACAAAAGUGUUUAUGCAUUAGAAACAAGUUAGCCUUUAAUCUUUUGCCUAAUUUGCUGUGUCGACACUUUUAAUGAGAUUUUUAUCUGUAAUAUGAAUUUAUUUUUCCCAUUAUUGCUUUUCAGUGUGUUUUUGUUUCACCAAUAGUAAUUGCUGUGAGAUAAUGGUGAUUUCUGUGACAUCAAAAUUACACUCUAAAAUGUAAUCUGCUUUAUUAGACGCACUGCAAUUUUCAGAGAGAGGUGUUUUUAGAUACUGUUUGGAAAUUAAGUUUCAAAACAAUCAAUUAGGUUAAAAGCCAGAAACCUGAAAUACAAAGUGAGUUCAAUAUACCCUGUGUAGCUUUUGGUAAUCUGGCCUCAUUUAAACAAACAAAGAUCAGGUUGAUUACUCUCAAUGCCGGUUAUUACCAUGAUAUACAGACCGUGAGACACUGAAAGGGGCGGAGUUAGCAACUGAGGACCAAUGGCAAACGUGAACAAGUGAGCUGAUCAUCAUGUUUUACAAUCAGUAUGACAUAAGUAUGUCAUCAGAGGGUACUGGGAAUGUGUUUUUAAGAGGAUGAUCUCUGAGCUUGAACAUAACCUACACCAGAGCAGGUUAUGCAUUUGGUGUUCAUGAUGAGCUACCCCAGUAAGAAGUAGACUGAAGUCUCAAAGGACAAAAAAACGGCAGAAAAAAUAGACUAGAGUUGAGGUGAGGCCGAACGGAAACGUUUAUCCUGUAACAGUCAUCUCUAAACUAUUCCACAAAGGGCUGCAGGUUUUUCUUCCAACCAAGCGGCAGCACACCAGACUUGAUUCAUUUCAUCAGCUGAACUCAGACUGCAGACAGCUGGUUGGUCAGACUGCGUGCUCUUGAUUGGUUGGAAGAAAAACCUGCAGCCACAGGGCCCUUUGUGGAAUAGUUUGGAGAUGAGUGUCCAAAAUGAAGCAUGAACCAGGCCUGAGGAUCAGCAAUUCAGUCUUUUGGCAAAAGCCAAAGAAAAUAAAAACUCAAACAGUAAAUUAGUUCUCUGACUCUUAAAGUGUGUGUGAAGUGUGAUACAAGCAGAAUCAUGAUGAGACUAAAAUGCGGGUGAGAACUGAACAGCAGCAGCAGUAGAGACUCCGUUGACAGUGAAGUCAGUGUUCAAGGCACCUCUAAAGUAUAAACUAGGGAAACAACUUCGCUCUUUAUUUCUUAAAUUCUGACCGGGGCAGACAUCAGAUCUGCACUUUCCUUCUUUUGCUAAGAACAGUGUGUGAGCUACUGCUGCUGCUGGAGAAAUGUCCAGACAAAAACACUGAAGAAUGUACAAUGAAUACUUUUAAAGUAAUGUUUAUAUCAAUGUUUGAA
RNAcentral lists this long non-coding RNA (2437 nucleotides) under Xyrichtys novacula (pearly razorfish). The record is from RNAcentral. Lineage: Eukaryota; Metazoa; Chordata; Actinopteri; Labriformes; Labridae.